This 467-nucleotide ribosomal RNA is filed under the name uncultured bacterium. RNAcentral describes it as "bacterial SSU rRNA". It matches the Rfam family "Bacterial small subunit ribosomal RNA", at positions 28 to 462 of the family's 1533-position model. The record is from RNAcentral.
GACGAACGCUGGCGGCGUGCCUAAUACAUGCAAGUCGAACGCACUCUCGUUUAGAUUGAAGGAGCUUGCUCCUGAUUGAUAAACAUUUGAGUGAGUGGCGGACGGGUGAGUAACACGUGGGUAACCUGCCCUAAAGUGGGGGAUAACAUUUGGAAACAGAUGCUAAUACCGCAUAAAACCUAACACCGCAUGGUGUAGGGUUGAAAGAUGGUUUCGGCUAUCACUUUAGGAUGGACCCGCGGUGCAUUAGUUAGUUGGUGAGGUAAAGGCUCACCAAGACCGUGAUGCAUAGCCGACCUGAGAGGGUAAUCGGCCACACUGGGACUGAGACACGGCCCAGACUCCUACGGGAGGCAGCAGUAGGGAAUCUUCCACAAUGGACGAAAGUACUGAUGGAGCAAGCCGCGUGAGUGAAGAAGGUUUCGGAUCGUAAAACUCUGUAGUUGGAGAAGAAUGUAUCUGAUAGU